UUCUUCGGAGAGUUUGAUCCUGGCUCAGGACGAACGCUGGCGGCGUGCCUAAUACAUGCAAGUCGAGCGAAUCGAUGGGAGCUUGCUCCCUGAGAUUAGCGGCGGACGGGUGAGUAACACGUGGGCAACCUGCCUAUAAGACUGGGAUAACUUCGGGAAACCGGAG
Molecule: ribosomal RNA, 166 nt
Filed under: Peribacillus simplex
Lineage: Bacteria; Bacillati; Bacillota; Bacilli; Caryophanales; Bacillaceae
Description: Bacillus simplex partial 16S ribosomal RNA
Rfam family: Bacterial small subunit ribosomal RNA
Source: RNAcentral